AGCAUUACCUGACCACAAUCCAACUUUGACAGCGACGAGGAUGAGGACGACGUUCCAUUGGAGAAAAUCAGUCUUGUCACUGGAUUUUUGAGAAAAUUCAUAGAGGAAGCGUCACCAGAUGUGCUGCGUGACCUGAUGAAGUUUUGGGUGGGGUUGGAACUGCAAACUACAAAACUCAAUGUUGAGGUUGUAACCUCAACUUAUCCAGUGGCUCCCACCUGCUUCUUCAAGUUGAAGCUCCCCGGCCACUACCAGACCUACAAGAUUUUUCACCAGGACUUGAUGAUGGCCCUCAGUUCCGUAAGUUCUGGCUUUGGACUUGUGUAGGUGCAAGUUAAGUUGUGUCAUCAACUUCUUGCACUCGGUCCCUCUUUUGAAAUGGAAUCACUUAAAAGAGCAAUUCCUGCUAAUUUAUGCACCAUUAACGUUAUAAAGUUUGAUUAUUCUACUUGAUUGUCAGGCACCACCUUCACCUGUCAAUAAAUACUUUGGAGUUGGUUUGGUGAUUGUCUUUAGCCUGUGUUUUUUUAACUUGCACUAGUUCUUUAGUGAUUUUCAUAUUCUUAAUCUAGCUGCUAGUGUACUUUUGUGAUGUCCUCUGCAGUGCAAUGAGCUUGGAUCAUAUUAAGAUCAUCUCUUUGAGAGCUGUGGCAGCUUUCUUGGCCUCUCUAGUUCAUUAAGCUCAGACUUCCAUAGACAUUUAGUUGUAAUUAUUGAACAGUUUAUACAGCUAGUACAUGUUUAAUACAUUCAGAUGUUUAGGUAGAUACCAGUUUCUCCAAUAUUACUGUUGCCCUUUUACAGUAAUGUUCUAAAUGACAGUGUGUACACCUAACAAUGUUGGUUUUGUAAAGCCGAUUUGUCUAAAUUUGUUAUCCCUUUACAGUGAUGUGUUGUAAAUACAACUGUACUGCUACAUUUGAUAAAUUUACACAAGACUUCCCAGAAUUUUAUGUUCCCUUGAACAACAUUAAAGGUGUUAAACAAG
Molecule: long non-coding RNA, 988 nt
Organism: Sander lucioperca (pikeperch)
Lineage: Eukaryota; Metazoa; Chordata; Actinopteri; Perciformes; Percidae
Exons: 2
Source: RefSeq, a predicted model, not a curated record